ACAUAGCAAGUCGAACGCCCCGCAAGGGGAGUGGCAGACGGGUGAGUAACGCGUGGGAACAUACCCUUUCCUGCGGAAUAGCUCCGGGAAACUGGAAUUAAUACCGCAUACGCCCUACGGGGGAAAGAUUUAUCGGGGAAGGAUUGGCCCGCGUUGGAUUAGCUAGUUGGUGGGGUAAAGGCCUACCAAGGCGACGAUCCAUAGCUGGUCUGAGAGGAUGAUCAGCCACAUUGGGACUGAGACACGGCCCAAACUCCUACGGGAGGCAGCAGUGGGGAAUAUUGGACAAUGGGCGCAAGCCUGAUCCAGCCAUGCCGCGUGAGUGAUGAAGGCCUUAGGGUUGUAAAGCUCUUUCACCGGAGAAGAUAAUGACGGUAUCCGGAGAAGAAGCCCCGGCUAACUUCGUGCCAGCAGCCGCGGUAAUACGAAGGGGGCUAGCGUUGUUCGGAAUUACUGGGCGUAAAGCGCACGUAGGCGGAUAUUUAAGUCAGGGGUGAAAUCCCAGAGCUCAACUCUGGAACUGCCUUUGAUACUGGGUAUCUUG
This 544-nucleotide ribosomal RNA is filed under the name Rhizobium sp. D5. RNAcentral's name for it is "bacterial SSU rRNA". It matches the Rfam family "Bacterial small subunit ribosomal RNA", at positions 53 to 644 of the family's 1533-position model. The record is from RNAcentral. Lineage: Bacteria; Pseudomonadati; Pseudomonadota; Alphaproteobacteria; Hyphomicrobiales; Rhizobiaceae.